GACGAACGCUGGCGGCGUGCUUAACACAUGCAAGUCGAGCGGUAAGGCCCUUUGGGGUACACGAGCGGCGAACGGGUGAGUAACACGUGAGUAAUCUGCCUUUGGCUUGGGAAUAACUUCGGGAAAUCGGGGCUAAUGCCUGAUGUUUACUGUCUGCUGCAUGGUGGGUGGUGGAAAGAUUUUUUGGCCAGGGAUGAGCUCGCGGUCUAUCAGCUUGUUGGUGGGGUAAUGGCUACCAAGGCUUUGACGGGUAGCCGGCCUGAGAGGGUGUUCGGCCACACUGGGACUGAGACACGGCCCAGACUCCUACGGGAGGCAGCAGUGGGGAAUAUUGCGCAAUGGGCGUAAGCCUGACGCAGCGACGCCGC
Molecule: ribosomal RNA, 368 nt
Filed under: uncultured bacterium
Lineage: Bacteria
Description: bacterial SSU rRNA
Rfam family: Bacterial small subunit ribosomal RNA
Source: RNAcentral